This 397-nucleotide ribosomal RNA is filed under the name uncultured bacterium. Its description in RNAcentral is "bacterial SSU rRNA". It matches the Rfam family "Bacterial small subunit ribosomal RNA", at positions 362 to 776 of the family's 1533-position model. The record is from RNAcentral.
UAUUGCACAAUGGGCGAAAGCCUGAUGCAGCAACGCCGCGUGAGUGAUGAAGGCCUUCGGGUUGUAAAGCUCUGUCUUCUGGGACGAUAAUGACGGUACCAGAGGAGGAAGCCACGGCUAACUACGUGCCAGCAGCCGCGGUAAUACGUAGGUGGCAAGCGUUGUCCGGAUUUACUGGGCGUAAAGGAUGCGUAGGCGGAUAUUUAAGUGAGAUGUGAAAAUCCCGGGCUUAACUUGGGAACUGCAUUUCAAACUGGGUAUCUAGAGUGCAGGAGAGGAAAGCGGAAUUCCUAGUGUAGCGGUGAAAUGCGUAGAGAUUAGGAAGAACACCAGUGGCGAAGGCGGCUUUCUGGACUGUAACUGACGCUGAGGCAUGAAAGCGUGGGGAGCAAACAGG